AUCCCUGCAGCGCAAUGGUUAGCGCGUUGGACUUCAAAUUCAAAAAUCGUGAGUUCGAAUCUCACCUGGGGUG
Trichonephila inaurata madagascariensis is the source of this 73-nucleotide non-coding RNA. The record is from the annotation of a GenBank genome assembly. NCBI's taxonomy places the organism in Eukaryota, Metazoa, Arthropoda, Arachnida, Araneae, Nephilidae.